This 1369-nucleotide ribosomal RNA is filed under the name uncultured bacterium. RNAcentral's name for it is "bacterial SSU rRNA". It matches the Rfam family "Bacterial small subunit ribosomal RNA", at positions 28 to 1381 of the family's 1533-position model. The record is from RNAcentral.
GACGAACGCUGGCGGCGUGCCUAAUACAUGCAAGUAGAACGCUGAAGAGAGGAGCUUGCUCUUCUUGGAUGAGUUGCGAACGGGUGAGUAACGCGUAGGUAACCUGCCUUGUAGCGGGGGAUAACUAUUGGAAACGAUAGCUAAUACCGCAUAACAAUGGAUGACACAUGUCAUUUAUUUGAAAGGGGCAAUUGCUCCACUACAAGAUGGACCUGCGUUGUAUUAGCUAGUAGGUGAGGUAACGGCUCACCUAGGCGACGAUACAUAGCCGACCUGAGAGGGUGAUCGGCCACACUGGGACUGAGACACGGCCCAGACUCCUACGGGAGGCAGCAGUAGGGAAUCUUCGGCAAUGGGGGCAACCCUGACCGAGCAACGCCGCGUGAGUGAAGAAGGUUUUCGGAUCGUAAAGCUCUGUUGUAAGUCAAGAACGAGUGUGAGAGUGGAAAGUUCACACUGUGACGGUAGCUUACCAGAAAGGGACGGCUAACUACGUGCCAGCAGCCGCGGUAAUACGUAGGUCCCGAGCGUUGUCCGGAUUUAUUGGGCGUAAAGCGAGCGCAGGCGGUUUGAUAAGUCUGAAGUUAAAGGCUGUGGCUCAACCAUAGUUCGCUUUGGAAACUGUCAAACUUGAGUGCAGAAGGGGAGAGUGGAAUUCCAUGUGUAGCGGUGAAAUGCGUAGAUAUAUGGAGGAACACCGGUGGCGAAAGCGGCUCUCUGGUCUGUAACUGACGCUGAGGCUCGAAAGCGUGGGGAGCGAACAGGAUUAGAUACCCUGGUAGUCCACGCCGUAAACGAUGAGUGCUAGGUGUUGGAUCCUUUCCGGGAUUCAGUGCCGCAGCUAACGCAUUAAGCACUCCGCCUGGGGAGUACGACCGCAAGGUUGAAACUCAAAGGAAUUGACGGGGGCCCGCACAAGCGGUGGAGCAUGUGGUUUAAUUCGAAGCAACGCGAAGAACCUUACCAGGUCUUGACAUCCCGAUGCUAUUUCUAGAGAUAGAAAGUUACUUCGGUACAUCGGUGACAGGUGGUGCAUGGUUGUCGUCAGCUCGUGUCGUGAGAUGUUGGGUUAAGUCCCGCAACGAGCGCAACCCCUAUUGUUAGUUGCCAUCAUUCAGUUGGGCACUCUAGCGAGACUGCCGGUAAUAAACCGGAGGAAGGUGGGGAUGACGUCAAAUCAUCAUGCCCCUUAUGACCUGGGCUACACACGUGCUACAAUGGUUGGUACAACGAGUUGCGAGUCGGUGACGGCAAGCUAAUCUCUUAAAGCCAAUCUCAGUUCGGAUUGUAGGCUGCAACUCGCCUACAUGAAGUCGGAAUCGCUAGUAGUCGCGGAUCAGCACGCCGCGGUGAAUACGUUCCCGGGCCU